UACCUUAGUAACGGCGAGUGAAGCGGUAACAGCUCAAAUUUGAAAUCUGGGUCUUUUAGGCUCCGAGUUGUAAUUUGUAGAAGAUGCUUUGGGUGCGGCCCCGGUCUAAGUUCCUUGGAACAGGACGUCAUAGAGGGUGAGAAUCCCGUAUGUGAUCGGUGGCUUGCGCCCGUGUAAAGCUCUUUCGACGAGUCGGGUUGUUUGGGAAUGCAGCUCUAAAUGGGUGGUAAAUUUCAUCUAAAGCUAAAUAUUGGCCAGAGACCGAUAGCGCACAAGUAGAGUGAUCGAAAGAUGAAAAGCACUUUGGAAAGAGAGUUAAACAGUACGUGAAAUUGUUGAAAGGGAAGCGCUUGCAACCAGACUUGCGCGGGGUUGAUCAUCCGGGGUUCUCCCCGGUGCACUCGGCCUCGCUCAGGCCAGCAUCGGUUUUGGUGGUUGGAUAAAGGCCUUGGGAAUGUGACUUCUUUCGGGGAGUGUUAUAGCCCUCGGUGCAAUGCAGCCUACCGGGACCGAGGACCGCGCUUCGGCUAGGAUGCUGGCGUAAUGGUUGUAAGCGACCCGUCUUGAAACACGGACCAAGGAGUCUAACAUCUAUGCGAGUGUUUGGGUGUCAAACCCAUACGCGUAAUGAAAGUGAACGGAGGUGAGAACCCUUAAGGGUGCAUCAUCGACCGAUCCUGAUGUCUUCGGAUGGAUUUGAGUAAGAGCAUAGCUGUUGGGACCCGAAAGAUGGUGAACUAUGCCUGAAUAGGGUGAAGCCAGAGGAAACUCUGGUGGAGGCUCGCAGCGGUUCUGACGUGCAAAUCGAUCGUCAAAUUUGGGCAUAGGGGCGAAAGACUAA
Molecule: ribosomal RNA, 841 nt
Filed under: Pezicula cinnamomea
Lineage: Eukaryota; Fungi; Ascomycota; Leotiomycetes; Helotiales; Dermateaceae
Description: eukaryotic LSU rRNA
Rfam family: Eukaryotic large subunit ribosomal RNA
Source: RNAcentral